GGCUUGUUAGCUCAGUUGGUAGAGCACUGCAUCGGAGUUGCAGAGGUCAUGGGUUCAAAUCCCAUACAGGUGU
Molecule: transfer RNA, 73 nt
Filed under: Pocillopora damicornis (cauliflower coral)
Lineage: Eukaryota; Metazoa; Cnidaria; Anthozoa; Scleractinia; Pocilloporidae
Description: tRNA-Ser
Rfam family: tRNA
About the family: Transfer RNA (tRNA) molecules are approximately 80 nucleotides in length. Their secondary structure includes four short double-helical elements and three loops (D, anti-codon, and T loops).
Source: Rfam by way of RNAcentral